Molecule: ribosomal RNA, 253 nt
Filed under: uncultured prokaryote
Description: partial 16S ribosomal RNA
Rfam family: Bacterial small subunit ribosomal RNA
Source: RNAcentral
ACGGAGGGGGCUAGCGUUGUUCGGAAUUACUGGGCGUAAAGCGCGCGUAGGCGGUUUCUCAAGUCAGAGGUGAAAGCCCGGGGCUCAACCCCGGAACUGCCUCUGGUACAGCACGUCUUGAGUCCGGAAGAGGUGGGUGGAAUUCCUAGUGUAGAGGUGAAAUUCGUAGAUAUUAGGAAGAACACCGGUGGCGAAGGCGGCCCACUGGUCCGGUACUGACGCUGAGGUGCGAAAGCGUGGGGAGCAAACAGGA